AGCGAACGCCCAAAGUAGUAUCAUACAAGAUUCUUAGGCCCUCGGUUCACCCUCUGCACUACCUCUUGCGCCUUCCUCACCCUGUUCAUUCACACCACUCACCCCUGUUUCUUCAUCCUUCUUUGCCUGUUGAGCAGCCUUUGCAUCGGCAAUACCCUUCUCUUCCUCUUCUUUUGUCGCCAUCUUAUCGUUCUUCAUCGCGAGCGCACCGACAAGCGCGAUGAUAGACAAGGGCAAGCCGAUAAUGAACACCUGGGAGAGGGUCUUGGUGUAUGCUCUCAACACAGGCACGCGGAGGUCUUCGGGAACAGAAGUCCAGACGGCGGUGGCAUCGUUGACGACGGCGGAAAUGAUUUCUUCGCUUAUACCGGGGACCAUGGCUUUGAGGUGGCGCUGGAUCAUGUUUUCGAAUACGCUACCGGACAUGGAGAGGGCAACAAUUCGACCGGCGAAUCCAGCUUAAAAAAGAGAUCAACCAAGGCUCCUUCUUCAGAUCGUGUUGAACAGCAACCAUGACAUUCUGCAAGCAACAUCCAAUCCCGACUGCGAGGAUUACCUGGUAGCCAUAUAAGUUGGCGAUAGGAGUAGAAUAGUCGGUACUGUAGAAAAGACCGGAAGCGAUUGCGAGGAAGACGGGGCCGACGCAAAUGACGGGCUUGAAUCGGCCGAUUUUAGGGAUAAUUCGCGAAGUGAGGAUAAGGACAAAGACUUGGACGAGAAUGAGGGGAAGAAGUUUGACACCGGCAGAAGUGGCAGAAGUUCCAUGAACGGCUUGGAAAUAAACGAGGAUCAUGAAGAUACCAAAGACACAAAAGGAGACAAUGGCCGCACCACUACAACAAUCGAUUAGCCAAUUGUUCGAAUCGAGGUGAAAGGUGACUCACGCAACAGUCCUUCGCUUAAACAACCUGAUCCUAAAGUAGGAGAUGCUUUCUUUGACGAAAUACUCGUAGAGACAGAACGCGAUGGGGAGAACACCAGCAAACACUAAAGUAACGAUAACAGACGCGGAAUCCCAGCUCCUGGUGACGCCACCCCAUUGAGUACCAAGGAUGAAACAAACAGCCCAAGCCAUGGAAAGCACGACACCAACCCAGUCACACAUGAGCAAUUGCUUGAGCAUGGCUUUGGAGUAGCCCUUGUAAGAACUUUCACGACCAAGAGGGGGUCUGCUGGGCUGGAAGAAGAGGAGACAGCCGAUGGCGACGCCACCUAGAGGCAGGUUGAUAUAGAAACACCAUCGCCAACUGACAUGGUCCGAAAAGGCACCGCCGAUAAGAGGACCAACGACUGAAGCGAUGGCAAAACUAAAAAAAAAAAAAGCAUGAGCAUGGUAAUCACUGGAAAGAGAAGCAAUACUUACCAGACACCGAACAGAGCAAAAUACUGAGCCCUCGAGUGCAAAGGCGUCAAUUCAGCGAUAAUGACCAUACCGCCACUAAAGAUACCUGCCGCACCGGCACCUGCCAAAGCUCGACCAAAGAUCAAAAUGUUCAUGUUCGGAGCGACACCACAGGCCAAUGAACCCAUUUCAAAGAUAAACACAGCAAAGAUGAUGACGUGCUUAGAGGGAAAGAUGUUCAUCAGUUGAGAAUAGAGCAGAUUGAAUGAUAAGAGUGUGAGGCUAUGGAGUGUUAAUCUGAAUGAUGCGUACUAGGAAAGUAGAACACUUACAAGAAUCCAGAGUAGCGACGAUAAGUUGAUCUGCAUUGGUGUCAACAAAUUUGUCGAGUCAAAAGACGUUGAGCCACACCUACCUAAUGCAAACAAAAAGACGGAAAUCAUAAGACUUCCAAAGAUAGCCAUAAACCUCCAUUUGGGGAUCUCUAAUGGAGCAGUAACACCAGAAUGGCCCUUUGGAGGAGUCUUGCCUCCAGUUCCUUGGACACUUGACUGAUCACCUGGUGUAUGAGCCACGGCGGACAGAGGAAUGGCGGCACUGGCGGUUGGCAGAGGAUCUUCUUCCACACUAAACCUCUUUUCGCGGUCACCGUCUACGCUG
RNAcentral lists this small RNA (2002 nucleotides) under Cryptococcus neoformans H99. Its description in RNAcentral is "Cryptococcus neoformans var. grubii H99 hypothetical RNA". The record is from RNAcentral. Lineage: Eukaryota; Fungi; Basidiomycota; Tremellomycetes; Tremellales; Cryptococcaceae.